AUACGUAGGGAGCGAGCGUUGUCCGGAAUUACUGGGCGUAAAGGGCGCGUAGGCGGCGCUUCAAGUCGUCUGUCAAAUGGGAGGGCUUAACCCUUUUUCGCAGACGAAACUGGAGAGCUUGGGAAGCAGAGAGGCAAACAGAAUUCCUGGUGUAGCGGUGAAAUGCGUAGAUAUCAGGAAGAAUACCAGUGGCGAAGGCGGUUUGCUGGCUGCAUACUGACGCUGAAGCGCGAAAGCCAGGGGAGCAAACGGGAUUAGAUACCCCGGUAGUCCUGGCAGUAAACGAUGUAUGCUGGGUGUGAGACUAGCGAUAGUUUCGUGCCGAAGUUAACGCGAUAAGCAUACCGCCUGGGGAGUACGGUCGCAAGAUUGAAACUCAAAUGAAUUGGCGGGG
RNAcentral lists this ribosomal RNA (394 nucleotides) under uncultured bacterium. Its description in RNAcentral is "partial 16S ribosomal RNA". It matches the Rfam family "Bacterial small subunit ribosomal RNA", at positions 523 to 918 of the family's 1533-position model. The record is from RNAcentral.